Molecule: non-coding RNA, 1622 nt
Organism: Tetranychus urticae (two-spotted spider mite)
Lineage: Eukaryota; Metazoa; Arthropoda; Arachnida; Trombidiformes; Tetranychidae
Source: RefSeq, a predicted model, not a curated record
GUUAUCGAUUCAAUGCUAAACUAUUUUAGGAAACUUGCUCUGAAUCUUGUUCUACAUCCCGGCAUCUUCUUUCUCUCUGUCUUCCCCUUCUUCUUAACUCUCUUUCCAUCCUCUCUCUCCUCUCUUUCUUCAUGCAUUUUCUUCCCUCUCUUUUUUUGGAUUUGUUUCCAAAUAUUAUGGCGAACUCUACAUUCAUAAUUAUUUGCUUUUUUUCGUUAAGAUGGUAUCUUCCCUUACACAUAUCUUAUCAGUUAUACAAGAACAAAACUGGUAAACCAUAAAAAAAUCUAACCAAAAACUGUUUCCAGAAUCAACUUCUGAUUGAUGCUUGUAAACAGUACAAUUUACAGGUUCUCUUCUGCCCAAUGAUAUGCUUUAAGACGAGCAAUGUUAUGUUCUCGAUUUCUUGUGACUAACUAACUAAUAGACUAAUUGAAUAUUCACACUUCAAUUGUAUCUCAGAAUUGAAAAGUCUAGCCAUAAGACACAAAUGAACAACAAAUCUUUGAUAUUAAUUCUGAGUGCAAACCUGAACAUUAGGAAUCUAAGGUUGUAAAUUGUGAAAGAUUUUUUUCGUAUGUAAGUUUUGUCAAAUCUGACAACAAUCAAAAUGUAAAUAAGGAGACUCAAAUCAUAACACGGAUGCUGCAUGGAUUAUGCCUUUAAGGUGACGACAGUAAACUUAAAGCGUGAACUGGACUUGCAUUGAAAGAUAGCUUACUCGAUCAUCAUCAUCAUCAUCAUCAUCUCUCCUUUUUUCAAUCUGUCUGGUUGUAUCAAGAGUUAUGAGGGGAAUUUUUGGAAUACCUGAUUGAACCCAAUGAACCUGAAUUGAAAAACAAGUUCAAAAAUUGUGGUUCUUUCAAUCAUGCCGCCAUAGAGACUCUAAUCAUGGUAACCAAAUCUAGUUCUAGAUCAAGGACGGAUCCAGAUGCGUCAAUGGUUCAGCUAAAUCCUGUUUACCCACAGCCAUUCCAAUAUUUAAUUGGCAUUUAAUGAACGGUGAAAAAAUGUAUCUUUUGGAGAAGGCCUACUUGACUGUUUGUCCAACAUUUUAUAAUCAAACUGAUAACCGUUAGAUCAACAUCUUAAGCAUUAAUAUGAUUUCUUUCAUAAUUGGACUAGGAAAAGGCUUGAUUAUCUUUGAUAAUCAACGAGAUGAUUUACUCCAUUUAAUGUAAAUAAUCAAAGUUCAACCAACUUACCAACCUGAUUUUAAUCCAACCAAAUGAUGUAAUAAUAUCAAACUUAGAGUUGGAAACAUUUGGUAAAUUUAAAAGCUUCAGUAAAUGCUGUGGUAACUAUUUGAUUUAUUUAACCUGGUAAAAUUGGGUAAAUCUGGUUGACCAGUGCUUUUCACUCUCUGGAUACAAAGGUCUUGUUUCGAGAAAUAUUUCCUCAAUUAACCAACAAUUCCAGCUCUGAUUUGAACCUGAUCCUGAUUGUAAUCUGUAAAUUCAAACCCAUUGACAUUGGAAUGAACCAGAAAUGGAAACCAAAUUGCCGAUGCAUCGUAAAUGAAUAAUAAUGAUCCCAUGGAAAAUGAUUAGUGGAUACAAAAUUGUUUGAUUAUUUUACUGUGAUGAACCGAAUGAAGAAAAAAAACUUGUUCAACUUCUCAA